GACGAACGCUGGCGGCGUGCUUAACACAUGCAAGUCGAACGGAAAGGCCCUGCUUUUGUGGGGUGCUCGAGUGGCGAACGGGUGAGUAACACGUGAGUAACCUGCCCUUGACUUUGGGAUAACUUCAGGAAACUGGGGCUAAUACCGGAUAGGAGCUCCUGCUGCAUGGUGGGGGUUGGAGAGUUUCGGCGGUUGGGGAUGGACUCGCGGCUUAUCAGCUUGUUGGUGGGGUAGUGUCUUACCAAGGCUUUGACGGGUAGCCGGCCUGAGAGGGUGACCGGCAACAUUGGGACUGAGAUACGGCCCAGACUCCUACGGGAGGCAGCAGUGGGGAAUAUUGCACAAUGGGCGGAAGCCUGAUGCAGCAACGCCGCGUGCGGGAUGACGGCCUUCGGGUUGUAAACCGCUUUCGCCUGUGACGAAGCGUGAGUGACGGUAAUGGGUAAAGAAGCACCGGCUAACUACGUG
RNAcentral lists this ribosomal RNA (468 nucleotides) under uncultured bacterium. Its description in RNAcentral is "partial 16S ribosomal RNA". It matches the Rfam family "Bacterial small subunit ribosomal RNA", at positions 28 to 507 of the family's 1533-position model. The record is from RNAcentral.